UAUGGUAAUUGUGUGCCAGAAGAAGAGGUAAUACGUAUGGUGCAAGCGUUAUCCGGAUUUACUGGGUGUAAAGGGAGCGCAGGCGGUACGGCAAGUCUGAUGUGAAAGCCCGGGGCUCAACCCCGGUACUGCAUUGGAAACUGUCGGACUAGAGUGUCGGAGGGGUAAGUGGAAUUCCUAGUGUAGCGGUGAAAUGCGUAGAUAUUAGGAGGAACACCAGUGGCGAAGGCGGCUUACUGGACGAUUACUGACGCUGAGGCUCGAAAGCGUGGGGAGCAAACAGG
This 284-nucleotide ribosomal RNA is filed under the name Roseburia intestinalis L1-82. Its description in RNAcentral is "partial 16S ribosomal RNA". It matches the Rfam family "Bacterial small subunit ribosomal RNA", at positions 493 to 776 of the family's 1533-position model. Lineage: Bacteria; Bacillati; Bacillota; Clostridia; Lachnospirales; Lachnospiraceae. The record is from RNAcentral.